GGGUGGAUUAGUGGCGAACGGGUGAGUAACACGUGGGCAAUCUGCCCUUCACUCUGGGACAAGCCCUGGAAACGGGGUCUAAUACCGGAUAUCACUCCCGCAGGCAUCUGUGGGGGUCGAAAGCUCCGGCGGUGAAGGAUGAGCCCGCGGCCUAUCAGCUUGUUGGUGAGGUAAUGGCUCACCAAGGCGACGACGGGUAGCCGGCCUGAGAGGGCGACCGGCCACACUGGGACUGAGACACGGCCCAGACUCCUACGGGAGGCAGCAGUGGGGAAUAUUGCACAAUGGGCGAAAGCCUGAUGCAGCGACGCCGCGUGAGGGAUGACGGCCUUCGGGUUGUAAACCUCUUUCAGCAGGGAAGAAGCGAAAGUGACGGUACCUGCAGAAGAAGCGCCGGCUAACUACGUGCCAGCAGCCGCGGUAAUACGUAGGGCGCAAGCGUUGUCCGGAAUUAUUGGGCGUAAAGAGCUCGUAGGCGGCUUGUCACGUCGGGUGUGAAAGCCCGGGGCUUAACCCCGGGUCUGCAUUCGAUACGGGCUAGCUAGAGUGUGGUAGGGGAGAUCGGAAUUCCUGGUGUAGCGGUGAAAUGCGCAGAUAUCAG
RNAcentral lists this ribosomal RNA (601 nucleotides) under Streptomyces bungoensis. Its description in RNAcentral is "bacterial SSU rRNA". It matches the Rfam family "Bacterial small subunit ribosomal RNA", at positions 85 to 700 of the family's 1533-position model. The record is from RNAcentral. Lineage: Bacteria; Bacillati; Actinomycetota; Actinomycetes; Kitasatosporales; Streptomycetaceae.